GGCCGGGUCCCUCCGAGGAUAUUCGCGGCGAAUCCCGCCAGGUCCGGAAGGAAGCAACGGUAACCGACGGAUCCUGCGAGAGGGGUUGCCCGGCCACU
Molecule: signal recognition particle RNA, 98 nt
Filed under: Pseudobdellovibrionaceae bacterium
Lineage: Bacteria; Pseudomonadati; Bdellovibrionota; Bdellovibrionia; Bdellovibrionales; Pseudobdellovibrionaceae
Description: Bdellovibrionaceae bacterium (activated sludge metagenome) signal recognition particle sRNA small type
Rfam family: Bacterial small signal recognition particle RNA
About the family: The signal recognition particle (SRP) is a universally conserved ribonucleoprotein involved in the co-translational targeting of proteins to membranes. Archaeal SRP consists of a 7S RNA and homologues of the eukaryotic SRP19 and SRP54 proteins.
Source: RNAcentral